CCAAACUUGGUCAUUUAGAGGAAGUAAAAGUCGUAACAAGGUUUCCGUAGGUGAACCUGCGGAAGGAUCAUUAACAAAUUGUCCACAAUAAUGGAUAAUUUAAUCCAUAUCCACCUUGUGUGAAUCUAUUGACGCGUUCGUUGGCAGGUUAAACAGUCUCUUUCAAAAGAGUUGUGUGGGUUAGGCUACUGAAAUAGCCGGCUCGGCCUGCCAAUUUUACUAUUAAACAUGUCUAAAUUGAUAGCCUGAAAUUUUUGAAACAUUUAACAAAAUACAACUUUCAACAACGGAUCUCUUGGCUCUCGCAUCGAUGAAGAACGCAGC
This 324-nucleotide unclassified non-coding RNA is filed under the name uncultured fungus. RNAcentral's name for it is "partial contains small subunit ribosomal RNA, internal transcribed spacer 1, and 5.8S ribosomal RNA". The stretch from base 1 to 73 matches the Rfam family "Eukaryotic small subunit ribosomal RNA", at positions 1759 to 1831 of the family's 1831-position model. The record is from RNAcentral. Lineage: Eukaryota; Fungi.